CUGAAUUGUCAACACGAGUUGUUGCUGGUCCUCAAAUGGGGGCAUGUGCACGCUCUGUUCACACAUCCACUCACACCUGUGCACCCUCUGUAGUUCUGUGGCUUGGUGGACUCUGUCCUCCUGCGGUGGUUCUACAUCUUUACACACACUCUGUAACAAAGUCUCAUGGAAUGUAUGCCGCGUUUAACGCAAUAUAAUA
This 199-nucleotide unclassified non-coding RNA is filed under the name uncultured Thelephoraceae. Its description in RNAcentral is "sequence contains ITS1". The record is from RNAcentral. Lineage: Eukaryota; Fungi; Basidiomycota; Agaricomycetes; Thelephorales; Thelephoraceae.